This 278-nucleotide ribosomal RNA is filed under the name uncultured Oscillospiraceae bacterium. RNAcentral's name for it is "partial 16S ribosomal RNA". It matches the Rfam family "Bacterial small subunit ribosomal RNA", at positions 511 to 788 of the family's 1533-position model. Lineage: Bacteria; Bacillati; Bacillota; Clostridia; Eubacteriales; Oscillospiraceae. The record is from RNAcentral.
GCAGCCGCGGUAAUACGUAGGUGGCAAGCGUUAUCCGGAAUUACUGGGUGUAAAGGGUGUGUAGGCGGGAUGGUAAGUCAGAUGUGAAAAUUAUGGGCUCAACCCAUAACUUGCAUUUGAAACUGCCGUUCUUGAGGGUCGGAGAGGUAAGUGGAAUUCCCGGUGUAGCGGUGAAAUGCGUAGAUAUCGGGAGGAACAUCUGUGGCGAAGGCGACUUACUGGACGAUUACUGACGCUGAGACACGAAAGCGUGGGGAGCAAACAGGAUUAGAUACCCC